Molecule: long non-coding RNA, 2201 nt
Organism: Balaenoptera ricei (Rice's whale)
Lineage: Eukaryota; Metazoa; Chordata; Mammalia; Artiodactyla; Balaenopteridae
Exons: 4
Source: RefSeq, a predicted model, not a curated record
ACGCCCGCCCCUUCCCUCCCAGGUGCCGGGACCUUUAAAACCCGGGCUCCAGGAGCAGCCCGAAGGACGCCUCCCCCAGAACUCGAGAUGCCGGCGGCGGCGUGGUUUCCUCCACCCUCACUCCGCCCCCGACCGCCACCAGGUGGCCUAGCGAACGCCCCUCGCCGCCCCGCUUCAGGAUCCCCAGGCAGACGCAUUCAGCUCGCCGCACCGCCAGUCCCAGCCGCCCAAGUUCGAUGCACACGCCCAAGUCCUCCAGCUCCUGAGGCCGCACGUUUUCUUCCCCGUAAACCCAAGACUUCGUCUUCCACGCGUCCCUGCAUCCUCCCGCCCCGAUUGUCCUUUCUGUUGCAGACCUGGCCUUCCGUCUGUCAUGGCAUGCAACCUUCCGCCGCCCAGUUUUCGUCCUCCCUUGCCUAAGAGCGGACCUUCUACACAUCCAGCUAUUGACAGAGCCUCCCCACAAAAGCCAAGGGCCGGAGACGCCCCUCGAAGCCUGCGGUUACCUGCAGGAGAAGGUACGCUGGCGAUGACCCGGGAACGCCACAGCCCUCACACGCUUAACCCCACAAGCGCACACUCUGGCAAUCCCAGAUGCAAUCCAGCUGUUUCGGCUUCUCACACGGCCUCCGCAGAAACCGAGAGCUGAAACGGCGGCGCUUCCAGGCUUUUGUCCCGACCCAGGCCCGGCCCACUCAGUCCACCUCCCGGAGCUCCGCCCCUGCCCCGCCGCCAAUCGCCGCGCGCUGACCCGCUGACAUGGGCGGGGCCAGGGGCCAGGGGCGGGUCCCGGAAGGCUAGGUCGAAUUCCGCGGCGAAUUCCAAGCGCUCGCGGUGGGGAAGGCCUUGCAGCGGCCUUUGGAGUCGGCCUCCACUCCUCUACGGCGGAAAGACGAGAUUGCCACCUGCAGGCUGGGGAGCAGGGCACGCCUGGGCUGGUCUUCUGAAUCCUCCGCCGCGAAGGGGCCCCCCGGGCUAACAACCUAGAGCCCGGCGGAGUGAGUUUCCACGUCUGCAAUAAAGGCAAACCGGCGACGGCGCGGCUCGGACCGAUCCCCUUCCCUGCGCGCCCCGGCUGUGGGGUAGACUGGAACGCGCUUGGACAGAAGGAAAAGUGCCCUGGGCAAGCGUGACGUCGCUUUGGGGGCUUCGCGCAGCUGGAAUGCAAAGGAUUGAACAGUUGCACAAGCAAGCAUGCUACAAAAGGAUUUAGGGCAACCUUCAAGAUACAUACAGUAUAGCACGACAAAGGACAUUGAAUAUAGGUGAGGAAAAGACAGAAUAAAUACAGGAAAUUGUACAGAACCAAGCUUGGCUUUUCCACUGGAUGCCAUGUGAGGAUUCAUUUAGAACACCAGUCUUCCAGACUCACAGACAUAGGGAACAGACCUGUGGUUGCCGAGGGGGAGCGCAGGUGGGGUUGGAAUGGAUUGGGAAUUUCGGGUUAGCACAUGCCAACUAUCAUGUAUAGAGUGGAUAAACAACCAGGUCCUACUGUAUGUCUCAGGGAACUAUAUUCAAUAUCCUGUGAUAAAACAGAUUAGAAAAGAAUAUAAAAAAGAAUGUAUACACCUGUAUAACUGAAUCACUUUGCUGUACAGUGGACUAUCUUUACUAUCUUUACUGGGCUAUCUAUUCUGUUCAUAUGAUCUCUUGGUCUAAUUUAUACUUUAUUGUAUGUUUAUGAAAUAUUAACAUCACCAGGCUAACUACAAGAGGGGGGAAUUUUUUUGCUUGUCUUUGUUUUUGUUUCUGGAAGGCAUAGACUUGAGCACGUUCACAGGUUAAGGAGGAAGAGUCAUUGGAAAAAGAGAGGUUGAAGAGACGGCACAAACUUCUGCAAUAGGGAAGACACUUUGUACUCUAUUAUGAGUUAAUCACUAAAGAAAUGUUGCCUGUAAGCUUAACUUAUACAUAAUGGCCCAUCUCUGGGAAUCCUGCCUCCCAGGUAAUGAGCAUUAAGCUAAAAUACCUUUGCUUAGCUCAUAGGAAACAUCCUGAACAGGCGGACCUGUGGAUGGCUUCAGGGAGGAUGAAAUUAACACAUCUCGUGUGGACGCUGAGUGGAACCAGGAAAUGUUUGACUUCACUCCCUCCCCUUUUAGUAUAAAAGAAGCCUGAAUUCUAACUCAGGCAAGAUGGUUCUUUGGGGGCACGAGUUCACCAUCUUCUUGGUUUGCUGGCUUUCUGAAUAAAGUCGC